CCAAUUUUUUCAUGGGCUCAAGGACGAUCGCGGCGGGCGUGCUUAACCCACAAGGGUUGGGCGAUGAAGCCCAGCUUGCUGGGUGGAUUAGUGGCGAACGGGUGAGUAACACGUGAGUAACCUGCCCUUGACUUCGGGAUAACUCCGGGAAACCGGGGCUAAUACCGGAUAUGAGCUACCUUCGCAUGGGCGUUGCUGGAAAGUUUUUCGGUCAGGGAUGGGCUAGCGACCUAUCAGCUUGUUGGUGGGGUGAUGGCCUACCAAGGCGACGACGGGUAGCCGGCCUGAGAGGGCGACCGGCCAUUUUGGGAUUGAGACACGGCCCAGACUCCUACGGGAGGCAGCAGUGGGGAAUAUUGCACAAUGGGCGCAAGCCUGAUGCAGCGACGCCGCGUGAGGGAUGAAGGCCUUCGGGUUGUAAACCUCUUUCAGCAUGCGUGAAGCCCAAGUGACGGUACCUGCAGAAGAAGCGCCGGCUAACUACGUGCCAGCAGCCGCGGUAAUACGUAGGGCGCAAGCCUUCCUCGGAAUUAUUGGGCGUAAAGAGCUCGUAGGCGGUCUGUCGCGUCUGGUGUGAAAACUCGAGGCUCAACCUCGAGCUUGCAUCGGGUACGGGCAGACUAGAGUGCGGUAGGGGAGACUGGAAUUCCUGGUAUAGCGGUGGAAUGCGCAGAUAUCAGGAGGAACACCGAUGGCGAAGGCAGGUCUCUGGGCCGCAACUGACGCUGAGGAGCGAAAGCAUGGGGAGCGAACAGGAUUAGAUACCCUGGUAGUCCAUGCCGUAAACGUUGGGCACUAGGUGUGGGGCUC
Molecule: ribosomal RNA, 810 nt
Filed under: Cellulosimicrobium cellulans
Lineage: Bacteria; Bacillati; Actinomycetota; Actinomycetes; Micrococcales; Promicromonosporaceae
Description: bacterial SSU rRNA
Rfam family: Bacterial small subunit ribosomal RNA
Source: RNAcentral